CAUACGGGGCUUUAUGUCUUGUAUUGGAAUGAUGGGAAUUUAAACCUCUUCCAGAGUAUCAAUUGGAGGGCAAGUCUGGUGCCAGCAGCCGCGGUAAUUCCAGCUCCAAUAGCGUAUAUUAAAAUUGUUGCAGUUAAAAAGCUCGUAGUUGAAUUUCUGCUGCAUUGCAUUUUCUCCUAUACGAGUUUUUGCAUUGUGGCUUAUUUCGGUUAUAAAAUUUAUUUUUAUUUCCGGAUGUUUACUUUGAGAAAAUUAGAGUGCUCAAAGCAGGCUUUUGCCUUGAAUAGUUUAGCAUGGAAUAAUAAAGUAGGACUUUGGUUCUAUUUUGUUGGUUUUAGGUACCAAAGUAAUGGUUAAUAGGAACAGUUGGGGGCAU
RNAcentral lists this ribosomal RNA (376 nucleotides) under Theileria capreoli. RNAcentral describes it as "SSU rRNA". It matches the Rfam family "Eukaryotic small subunit ribosomal RNA", at positions 477 to 891 of the family's 1831-position model. Lineage: Eukaryota; Apicomplexa; Aconoidasida; Piroplasmida; Theileriidae. The record is from RNAcentral.